CACACAUUAUCCAUAGAAGAUCUGGUCUAAACCCAGUUCACUGCAGUGGUUUUAGAUCAGGCUGAAAGUAACUUCCAAUCUGUGGGCAAGAAGUGAAGAAUACCAUAUUGCAUUAAUUUUCCACAAAUUGCUUAAUAUGGAAUUGGUCUACAAUAGUAGGAAAAAAGUCCUUCCUUUUGUGGAAAAAGCUACAGGACCACCAAGGAACUCUAUUUUACCACUCAUCAAAAAAUCUAGUGCUGCCAUGCCAACCAUAGUAGUACAGCUGCCCUAGGCAAACAAGCACAUCCAUGUUUACAACUAGCCAGCCUUCUCCCACAGACUUUUACACUGCUGUGGCAAUUCUAAGAAUCAGCAUCUCACAUCCACAGCUCCCAUAUGAGGAGGAAAAGCCACAGCUCAGUUUACAUCCGUAUGCCAUAUCUCUAUGGAUACUUCCAACAACUCCUGGGAGGAGCCAAGAAGAAAAUGAAGAUCAACUAUUUCUAAUAGAAGAAAGCAACAAUAGUGUUUAGCUUGACCUCUCAGACGAAAAGCAGCAAACCCCACACAUCCUUUGCAAUUUGAACAGUUGUGGAAUGGACUGAAGAUUAAAAAAUGGUUCAUGAAGCACACCAGUCAAUACCCUUGCCUGCUUUUGAGAACAUGAGUUCUUAAUGCUGGCCUUACUGGAGAAGCUGAGCUCCUGGAAAUAUAACAAGAAUGAAGGAAAGAAAACCAGCGUUGCAUUUAAUUAUCUUGUGAUCCCAGGUUCUAAUGAGCACCCAAGCAACAUCCAUGAAGAAGCAAACAUCCCUGAGAAUGGAGAAGGGUUUUCAUGCUGGGAGCACCUGACAAGACCUGGGGCCAGCCCCAGAACAAUGACAGAAUAUGGAAUAUCUUGCUCAUUGGCUGAAUACAAACCUAUCCAUGAAUGACACAGGGACCAAAUGGAAAGCACUAUAAGAUCAUACAGUUAAAAUUUCAUCACGGUGACCACACAGGUGACAGACUGAGAGCUGCUACUUCUGAAACUUUAGAUCCUUGACUCUCCAGCAUUGUGAGUCUUCCUUCACUGUAGUCUUGAUAUAUUUUUCUAUACAUAGAAAUUGCAUAAGUGGACACUGCUUACCACUUGAAAAAAAGUGGAAGAAAUGUAGUGUUUAAUGAAAUGGAGAAAACAAAGUCCAUACUGGCAAUGUUUCUCCAUGUGCUCCUGACUUCAAGGCAGAGAUAUCACUGGGCCUGUCACUGAAGACUACAACAGGUUCACACAGAUUCAUGUGGGCAUUGGCUUUUUCUUGGGAAAGCUCUGGUUACAUAUUUGACCCAAAUCUUUUAAUAUACAUUUGUACUGUAGACUUUGUCUAAGGCAUCUGAAGCUAUCACUAUGUUGCUUCAAUAAUCUUCAGUCAGUCCGUAGCAGAUUUCUGUGAAGGAGAUUUGGAAAACAUGUACUUUUGUGUUGUACCGGUCUCUUUCUAUUAAUAUCUUGGCCCAUUUUGGCAAUAUUUCUAAAUAUGAAUAAAAUAUUAAUCUGCAGAUUAAAUACUAAGACCUACUUUUAGCUCAGUUGUGCUACAAUAAAUCAGAUAGGCUGAAGAAUUCCUUUGUAUCUGUGCCAUGUAAUUUAGAUCAGAAUCUGUCCAGCUCUGAUACUCUUCUAUUGGAACAUAACCUCAUGUGUAUUCUAUGACAGGAUAACAGCAAUAUUCAUGAUAAGCUGUCAUAUAUAAUAUAAAAGGUGCUUUUAAAAACAUUUGCUGUUCUCAAAAAUGAAAUAAGAAUAAAGACCAGACUUUGCUUCUACAACAUAAAUAUCUGGAAAAAACAAAGCUACACACACAUACACAAAAUAAUUAAAAAAAUAGACACACACAAAAACAAAAGAGGACCAAGGGACUUCUGGAUGCAAGGUUCUUAUCCUCUCCUUGACUAUAAUACAAAGGUGUUAGAGAAACCUAUGAAACCCCCCUCUUCUUGCUCAUUCGUAUGUAACACAGUACCAUGGCUGUAAUGAUGUGAGUGCAGAAGAGAGGCAAAUAUGAAUUAACUGUUUUUGUGCAGAGUUAAAGCAGACAUAGUAGAAACUCAGUGGUUUCUCAUUUAAUUAUUAUUAUUUAACUAUUAGAUACAGCACAGAUGUAAGAAGCAGAUCUCAAUGCAAGUGGAAACAGGGGUUGAACUCCUUGCACCUGUUAAGUUAUCGAGGUCAGAGGCUGUUUUUAUAGCUCACACAUAUUCAAUGUUUAGGACAAAAGAGUUUCAGUCAGUGGUUGGGGCCUCCAAGCACAACUGCAAUGUGAAUAAUAAAUGGCGACUACAGUCAAGGAGCAUAAGGGUUAAUUCCUAGCUCCAGCUACUGGGACCAAGAUUGCAAAGUAAAAUCAGGAAGUUCCAUAGCUGUUGGUGCAAGAGGAUUAUUUUCUGCUGUAAUUGUUGUGGUAAUCUUUAUUUUUCCUGCUCCUUCAGCUUUUUAAUGGGAAAUCCUAAAAGCCAAUUCUUUGAAGCUGGAGACUUGGCAGAAAGACAGCAGAAAAUGUUGCCCCAUUCCCAUCCAAGUGGUUUCUCAGGAAACAGCCAUAGGAGUCCUUUGUGCUGAAGAAAUGAUUGAAUUUACUAUAUUAAAUCAGAAAGUAAAAAUCUUGGAAUGAAAUAAAGACAACUCCCUUCUCAUUUGAGUGCUGGGAACACUGAGCACCUGCGUGCUAAUGAUCAUUAAUUUAUAUUGCUAACUAAAGAGGAGAGAUAAAAACAUGGUCAACUUUGAUGCAAACUAUCCUUCCAUUUGUUCAGAAGAUAUCUUUUCUUGGUUCUCAGUGUGAAAAUGUAGAAGAUUUUUAGAAAGUACUCUCUCUUCUUCUUUUUCCAGGAGAGAGGUUUGCUGUAAUCACACAACAAUGUAUAACUGCUGUGAGUAAAGCUGGCAAUGGCUGAAAAAGUGCUUGAAGGUACUUGCUGAUAAGAGUGCUCAGGUUUCCAAAUUUCAGCUUUACUUUAGCAUUAAUUACCACAAUUUUAUCUUUAUUGGGACCAAAAAAUAAUGGCAAACAUAUGGGAAAUGAAAUUCAUAUUGUGUUUGGAUUUGGAUAACAACAAUCAUCAUCAUCAUCAUGAAAAAAACUACUGAAUCUAGUGAGGUUAACCAGAAACUCAAAUAAAGCAAAAACAUUUCCUAAAACAAAGGCACAGGAAUGUAGUUGACAAGUUCUGCAAAACCAACAUUUUACACUGAAGUCACCUGGUCAGCAUGGUUGAUCCCUUUUGCUCAUCUCAGAUGCAAAUCCCAGAGGCAGGCACGUAAGUAUUUUUGAAAAUGGGAUAAUUUGCCAUGUAUAUGUCUGGGCUUAUGUCUCUGUACAUGAAGUAACCUGCUGUACUUGCUAUCCUCUGCAAGAAGAAACAGACAGAGCUAACUUUCUUCCUUGCUGUGUUGCAACAUAUAAUACAAGCUGUUGCUCAUGGAGUAAGGCAGUUCCCUCUAUCUCUUGGCACACCAGCCUGGGCCAGGAUAUCUCCCAGCCUCCAGCCAGCCAACACAGGUGCUCAGCCAUGGCUGGGGGUGUUGGAGCAGCAAGGAGAAUGCUGCCCCAGUGAGCCUUCAGCAGAGAUAAGUUAUCAGCAAGCAUUGCUGUUUCUUAGCCUUUAUGAAAAGGGAGUCUGUCAGGCUGCAUGCAUUAUCCCAAGGACUAAUGAUGGUCUCUGCUUACUAUGUGUAAGGGAUAUGCAUGAUCACUUCAGGACCUGAUUAGUCUAAAUACAUUCAUGAUGCGUUCCCUAAUUUGAUGGUCUAAGCUAUUAACAAGAUAAAGAUCUGAUGAGCUCAUCAGGAAUUUGAAGGGAAAGGUUAUCUUCAGGAGCUCCUAGGACAGGACACAGAACUUAAAGAAAUUGUAAACCUUUGGCCAUUUUUCCACCAUAAAGAUAUUAGAUUUUAAUGAAACAAAAUUUUUAGAAUAGUUGCAUUACUUCCUUAUCCAGGGGAAACAAAAAGAUGCAAACUUUAUUGUCCAACUAGCAGAAAGAGCUUUUGUUUGCAUUUUUCUUCUCAUUAAGCCAAGUAAAUGUGCAUCUAUUUUGUUUUCUGUGGACAGCCCCCACAAUUCCAUAAUAAAAUUAAAAGUUUUCUAGACCACUCUCUAAACUGAAACACUGCCCCAGUCUCUGGACUUGUGGCCUCUUCCUAACAGUCAAAGCUGAUGUUAAAUAUCUUCUCCUUGCCCUAAAACAAGGCAUUAAUCAUGCCAAGUGAAGAAGCUGAAUGAUUCAUUUCCAGUUCCCAUGACUUAUCACCACAUCACAUCAAAGACAUGUAUCAUAUAUACAUGUAUGUGAUUAUGAAAUUGCAUUUGUUUAGUUUCAGCUUCAUAAGAUUUUAUAAAAGAUGAGGAAGAUGA
This 4376-nucleotide long non-coding RNA is filed under the name Anas zonorhyncha (Eastern spot-billed duck). RNAcentral describes it as "lncRNA (ENSAZOG00000010450.1)". The record is from RNAcentral. Lineage: Eukaryota; Metazoa; Chordata; Aves; Anseriformes; Anatidae.